This 336-nucleotide long non-coding RNA is filed under the name Medicago truncatula (barrel medic). RNAcentral describes it as "long non-coding RNA (MTRU_LNC006050)". Lineage: Eukaryota; Viridiplantae; Streptophyta; Magnoliopsida; Fabales; Fabaceae. The record is from RNAcentral.
UAGUCCAUAAAACCGUGUGGAUUCAGAACUGAAAUCUAAACCGUGAAGCCGGUAAAAAAAGUGGAGCAAACCGGGAAAACCAACGGUUUUGGAGUUUAUCCAGGUUAGACCGUCUUCACAUUUAUUAAGAAAAAAAUACAAUCGAACCCCCACACUGUGUUCGCGGGUAACACCAAAAGUGUUUUUGUUAUUUCUCAUUCAAAGCUUUCAAAGAAAUCAUCAUUGUUAGAAAUAAAGCUUGAAACAAGACAUGUAAGAGAAGGGGAGAAGGUGCAAAUCAUCAACAAGAGAAUGGGUUUUGUGUGCUUCUUGGAAGAGAGAGAACAUGAACUAGAA